RNAcentral lists this ribosomal RNA (251 nucleotides) under uncultured prokaryote. RNAcentral's name for it is "partial 16S rRNA". It matches the Rfam family "Bacterial small subunit ribosomal RNA", at positions 525 to 775 of the family's 1533-position model. The record is from RNAcentral.
ACGUAGGAUCCAAGCGUUAUCCGGAUUUACUGGGCGUAAAGCGUGUGUAGGUGGUUUGUUAAGUUGGGUGUUAAAUCUCUCGGCUCAACUGGGAGUUGUCGCUCAAUACUAGCAGACUGGAGGACGGUAGAGGAAGGUGGAAUUCCGGGUGUAGUGGUGAAAUGCGUAGAUAUCCGGAGGAACACCAGUGGCGAAGGCGGCCUUCUGGACCGUUCCUGACACUCAGACACGAAAGCUAGGGUAGCAAACGG